GUCUACAGCCCUACCACCGUGAACACGCAUGAUCUUGUCUGAUCUCAGAAGCUAAGCAAUGUCAGGCCUGGUUAGUACUUGGAUGGAAGAUUUAUUUUAUUAUUUCACCCCAAACCUCAACACAUGGGGUUCAUGUCA
RNAcentral lists this ribosomal RNA (138 nucleotides) under Tupaia belangeri (northern tree shrew). Lineage: Eukaryota; Metazoa; Chordata; Mammalia; Scandentia; Tupaiidae. The record is from RNAcentral.